Molecule: ribosomal RNA, 801 nt
Filed under: uncultured marine bacterium
Lineage: Bacteria
Description: bacterial SSU rRNA
Rfam family: Bacterial small subunit ribosomal RNA
Source: RNAcentral
GUCGAACGAAGGCCCUAGCUUGCUAGGUGUCCUUAGUGGCGCACGGGUGAGUAACACGUGGGAACAUACCUCAUAGUACGGAAUAACUGCGGGAAACUGUAGCUAAUACCGUAUAUUCCAGCAAUGGGAAAGAUUUAUCGCUAUGAGAUUGGCCCGCGCAAGAUUAGUUUGUUGGUAAGGUAAUGGCUUACCAAGGCUACGAUCUUUAGCUGGUUUGAGAGGAUGAUCAGCCACACUGGGACUGAGACACGGCCCAGACUCCUACGGGAGGCAGCAGUAGGGAAUAUUGGACAAUGGGGGAAACCCUGAUCCAGCAAUGCAGCGUGAGUGACGAAGGCCUUAGGGUUGUAAAACUCUUUCAUCGGUGAGGAUAAUGACAGUAACCGAAGAAGAAGGACCGGCUAAUUCCGUGCCAGCAGCCGCGGUAAUACGGAAGGUCCUAGCGUUGUUCGGAAUUACUGGGCGUAAAGCGCAUGUAGGUGGAACAGAAAGUUAGAAGUGAAAUCCCUGGGCUCAACCUAGGAACUGCUUUUAAAACUUCUGUUCUGGAAUUCAGGAGAGGAAAAUGGAAUAUCCAGUGUAGAGGUGAAAUUCGUAGAUAUUGGAUGGAACACCAGUGGCGAAGGCGAUUUUCUGGACUGAUAUUGACGCUGAGACGCGAAGGCAUGGGUAGCAAACGGGAUUAGAUACCCCGGUAGUCCAUGCAGUAAACGAUGGGUGCUAGUCGUCGGACUUAUGUUCGGUGUCGUAGCUAACGCGUUAAGCACCCCGCCUGGGGAGUACGGUCGCAAGAUUAAAACU